Long non-coding RNA from Felis catus (domestic cat), 6382 nucleotides. RefSeq lists it as uncharacterized. The record is from RefSeq and is a predicted model, not a curated record. The transcript has 5 exons. NCBI's taxonomy places the organism in Eukaryota, Metazoa, Chordata, Mammalia, Carnivora, Felidae.
CCCCAAGUGUUAACGCGCCCUGGAGAACGCCUUGGUGAGGUGUAGGAAGGCGGGAAGCAGGCUCUUCCUGGAAAUGCUGGAAAACUGGGAAGUUGGGAGAGGUUUCUGUGUGUCAGCGAUCAAAACAGCAUUUUACCCAAGGGACCCGGCUGUGCCUCCGGUUGGGGGCUGUUCCACCUUUUACAGAUUACUUCAGUUUUUAAAAUUGUCUUGAGUUUUGAAAUCUGAAUUAUUUUUCAAAAUUUAGCUGCGAGUUUUGAAUGUUUCUAAGUUUUGGAAAUGUAGCUUCGCAAAUACAGGUUUUGGAAGUGAGAUUUGCAUUUUGAAAAUUUCAGUUGUGACCUCAAGUAGUUUACAAGUAUUUUGUUUAAAGUAUUCAUUUUAGAUUUGAUUUCGUAAAGAUGUCCCCCAAAUGUUCAUGUGUAACAGUUAUUGCCCUAACGUUAAAUACGUGCUUGGCGCCUAUCAUACAUUUGUACUGAUACGUGUUUCGUGUUUAUAUUAUAAACACCUGUUGGCACAUAUACACACGGCCCGGAGUCUGGGGACCCCCCCCCCCGGGCGGCGCGCUUAACCCUGGUCUCGCGAGACCUGUCUGUGAGGACGGCCCCGCGGGCGGUCUUGGCACUCCUGCUGAGACCUCUCUCCCGCAGGUGCCUGGCUCCGCCCUGUCCCGUCGCGCGCGGACGCGCCCAGCAGGGGGCGCCGUCUCCGUGCUCUUGGAGCCGCCGUUCCUCCCACGCGCACCUGCAGUGGGGCGGAAAGGGGCGCGGCCUGGAAUGCGGACAAACCCUCCAGCCCGCUUUCCGGAAGGGGCCCGGGGCGAGUUUAAGCGUAACUUAGACCCGCCCUCGCUGCUGCCGGACGGAAAUUCCCAUCCCGCUGGAACAGGCGAGGGCGCCGAGGAACCCAGAGGACCGCAGCAGGGGGCGCAGGUGUCCGUCCACAAGCUACCUUCCUACGUGACAGCUCCUGCCAGAGAGCCUCCCAGUAUAUUCCUGCAGGAACGCAGCGCCACGCUCUUCCUGGAGUGGGCGAAAGAUCUAAGAAACUCGAGUUCCUACACGCCGGUUUCAUUAAUGUUACGAAAGCAAACUUUAUCAUUUGCCCGCCGCUCCUUUUUUCGAGGCGGGAGAGGGCGGUAAGAGGCACAGACUCGGUCCCGUAUGUCAUUCUUCCGUCUUCAAAGCACCGAGCAACUACGGAAGAAGUGAGAGCACAUCUCGGCACUGCUUCAAGAGGCCGGGGUGGGAAGGGGGGUAUCUGCGGAAAUAGAUGCUUCCUGUUCUACCCGUGUGAUGGCUGCGAUGUCCUACGAGUUCAUCUGUAAGUACAAAUGACAGUCCGCCCAACUGUGUUCAAGUUUUCCUACACACGCUAGGGGACCAGCCAGCUGUGCAGUGUCACCGAAAACCUUUCAAAAAGGCCACGUCCUUCGAGCCGGAUUCGAACCAGCGACCUAAGGAUGACCACAACCACACGUCUACAGUCCUCCGCUCUACCAACUGAGCUAUCGAAGGAUUGGUGUGCGUUCAAGCUGAUGUUUUGUAUCACAUACAAGGUUUUAGUCGUCCUAAAUGUCACAUUUGGACAGACCUAGUUGCAUUUACGAAGAGCCGUGUAGAAACAAAUGCAAAUCCUUCACCAGCGAAGGAACCAGCAUGCAUCACUCAGAGAUGCUAGACUUUCAGCAAACUGACGUUCUCAUGGACUUUUAUGUUGUCUCCCCCCAGGGGAAGCCAAGCGUGUUUGGCUUUUAGGAAGGAGGGUGGGCAGAAUCGUUGGUGGCUGCGUGGUGAACUGUAAUGGACACUAUUGCUUUUCAAAAAUCUCCUGACAUUGUGUUGUACCAUAUCUAAGACUAGAGUUCAUUACUCCUUUAGAAAUAGAUGUGGCCGUGUGACACAACUGUUUUGACAAAUGAGAUGUCCCUCCUGGAAGUUGGAGAGCCAGUGAGCCAUCCACCACACCCCUCUUGACCCUUCCCCUGACAAAAUAUGAUCUGAGUUGUUGGGGAUCCACAAGGAGCCCACCAGGCAAACCAUGACUGAUUUAUAUGACGCCGAAGAGUUUCCGGUUACGAGCCGUCAUGAUUUGCAGAGGGGGAAUGCUUGUGACUGCAGUGUAACCUACCCUACUCAGGCGGACACACAGGAAACGCGCAAGUCUGAAUCCACGAGGAAGGCUCAUUCUCCUCCUAGGAAAACACCCAAGAGAAAUGUGUGAGCUUCUGCACCAAGAGAUAUGUAUGGUAAGAGGGUUCAAAGAUUUGUUUGUUGGUUUCCAAUUGUCCGUGUUCUAUCGCUGAGUGAAAGAAAAGUUCAGUGACGUUUGCCGAGAGUCUGCCUGCCAGCCUAGUGUCAUUUUGUAUUACUUCAAGAGAGGUGAGGUUUUUUUCCAGUCACUCCAAGAAAUGGAUUCCAGGAAAGUAUUCUGGAAAAGCUGCUCAUCGUAGGCUCAGGCUCUUUGUGGAAUUUCUAAAUGUGUUGAGCUAAAAGUGGAGCAAAUUUAUCAGAGUGAAUCCAGAUCUUGGAUGGGAUUUGAAAAGGCUGUGGCAAUUUUUCAAGACUGAAAACUGCAGUAGUUGGGACUCCGGCAAAAAGGAUAUAAGUCGUUAGACACGAGGCGUUUCACCUGCUCUGUCCUGCGUCGCGUGGGCCACAGGACUGCCCUGUUCUCCUUUCCUCUCUUGCAACAACAUUCCAGAAUUCAUUCUGCUUAAAACUUGGUAGCUUCUACCGGCCAUCUGGUUGCUGGGAACAGGCUUCCCCAAAGACAGACUGAAAAGGACAGCAGGAAUCUUCAAACCCUCCUAAUUCCUUGCUGUUCCUGAAAAUUACCAUUCGAGAUCAUUUUUAAAUGUUGGGUUUUACACCAACCUAUUAGCAAACAGGCUGAGCGUGAUAUUCUACGAGAAGCUACACGACUGUCUCAAACAUGCGUGCCAAGUCCAAGUUCACGGCCGAAAGCUAGAGGAAAGCUGUGGGUGGUCUCGUCCCCCUGACGGCGCGCAGCAGGCAGGGCUUCCGCAGGCCCAGCUCCUUCGAAUUGCGCAGUAGCCGCGAUCGGCUGGGAGCAGAGCAGGUGUCUUGGGUCACGAGCGAACCCGCGUGUGCAAGUUCGACCUCCUCGUGUGUCUGCACGCGUCCCAGCGCGGGAACAUCCCCAAGGUGCAGGCGGCCUCCCACCCGCGCACUCGGUUCAUCUGAAAGGUGAUUGUCCUCCACUCCUGGUGUGUUCGCAGAGGGGACAGGAGGCUUGGGCUGGUCCUGUCCCCUCUUCCGUCCUUCACACCGAUCUCUUCGAGACACAGGAGCGGGAGAAAGGAGAACACAUCUCGGGUUUGUGCCCAAAGGUCACAGGUUGCGGGCAGGGUGUGGCUCUGGGGUUAGACGGUGCCACGGUGGUGGCCGUAUCUGGGCGGUGGGUACGAUGGGAGUUCGUUAUGCUGCGUCCUGGGUGUGUCUGAAAUUUCUCCGACAGAAGGCUUCUUCAGACGUCACCGGGCUAACAGGGCCCCCAGCGGCGGGCGCGGACCCCAACGUCGGAGACACUCGCGCGCCCUCGCCGUUGCGCUGCGCGGAGCCGGCGCCGGGGCCGCGCGCGGGGAAACGCUGAACCUGGAACCCGAGACGGCCGCGCGCAGGGAGCCCAGGGUCGGGGCCGCGCGCGCGGAGCCGGGCCGCCCUCGCAAGCGUGUGAGUUUCACAGGCGAAAAGGUGAACGGAGACUCGCGGAAAGGGACUAUUCCCUGCGUUCAGUAAGGGUCUAAAUGUUGCUGUGGCGUCGCUGGAGUUGUCUACGAUUUCCAAAAUUGUCGUCCUUCGAGCCGGAUUCGAACCAGCGACCUAAGGAUGUCCAACUAUCGCACCUACAGUCCUCCGCUCUACCAACUGAGCUAUCGAAGGACUCCUGGGAGGCACCCUUUCAGGAUUCCUAAAAUAACGUCGGUCCAGACGGUCUGUGUUGGUAAUGUUCACGUGCACUUUUCAAAGUGCAGCCUUAAGCUGACUUCCUAGACCCCGAAUGUGUUUUAUAUAGUGAUCUGGAUAGACAGCUGGUUCCAUGGGUUUAUAAAGACAUCAAAUUCAUUGGGUUAUACAUAAAAGACAUUAGGAUAUCACUUAUGUAGCUCUCAAGCAAAACCCCUAAGGCUGUCCCCUGUCCUCCUCCCCCAGGAACAAUAUAGCUGAAGGUAGUGCCCUCUUAUUAUGGACCGAUUUCCUUCCUUCCUCUCCGGUUACCUACUCCUUCUCUCCAAAGUGUCAAAGUUUGCUCAAUAAAUGUUAUGGUUGCCCUAAAUACAGACAACUAGGUUGGAGAAGAUCCCUGGGUUGUGAACAGAGCAAGGUCCCAUGCAUUUUGGUACAUUCCAGUAGUCCACAGUGAAAGUCCAAUGGGAAAUCGUGUCUAUUCUUAACUCUAAUGAUGAAAAAUGUGGAGUGGUGUGUGUGUGUGUGUGUGUGUGUGUGUGUGUGUGUGUGUGUGUGUGUAUAAAUGUUCUUAGUUGGGUAAAUAUGAUCUGGGUGGUUCACAUUCCACUGCAUAAUUAUAGUAGAGCAAUUAAAAUGAAACAACAAUUCUUAAAAUUCUUAAGUGGAAAUAUAAAUAUUCCUGACCCCAAGAAAAUCAGACAACAUUGAGGUUCAACAGAAACUGAUCAGUUUCCUUGCACCUGCUACAGAAAUAGACACAAGUAGAGAAUUUGCUAAACUACCUGGAGCAAAAAGGCUUUCCUUUGUAAUAUAUUUAAGGAAGAGAUUAAGUGGGUUUCUCUAUAAAAUAUCUGUGCUUCUUAUAAUAAAAGUUCGACAAAACCAUAUUAUUGGGAAAAAAAUCCAAAUUUUUCUUCAAAUGGCAAUUGCCAGUGCCUCCUAUUAGAAACAUUGAGAGCUCAUAGUUGAUAGGGAGCUCAGUAAUGAAGUCCCUUUCCAUGAGACGCUAGUGAAACGGAACCUAGUAACGUUCCUUUCAAUGUUCCUGACCUAAUAGAGGAUUAGCAGCUAGAGAAAAAGCGUCCUAAGAAGUGGACGGUUUCUCUUAACAUUAUCAGGUGUCCUUUCUGUGCUUUGAAUACCAAGUAGAAAACGUUGCCAACAGGUGCUGAAAUUUCAGGAUGGUGAUGGAUUCAUCGCUGGGGCCACACUUAGAGGAACGGGAAGUUCCCGGAAAGGACACGGGAAGGAUUCUGGAGGCUGGAAGCCCAUGACCAAGGCCAUUCAGUUCCUGUGACAGCUCUCUUCUUGGCUUGCAGAUGGCCGUCUCCUGGCUGUGCCUUCACAGGGCAGAGAGAGAAUGGGCUCUUUGGUGGCUCCCCUGUAAGCCACCAAUCCCAGGGGAUCAGGGCCCCGCCCUUACAACCUGAUGGACGUCCAGGGUUAAACUCUUGCCCAAUUUCUAAGACAAGUGUUUCUGAGGACUCCACGGCCUGGAUUCCAGCUGCACUCUGAGCUCUUUUACCGACAGGGUCCAGAAGCGUAGGACAGGUUGUAGGUGGUGCCGAGGGACAGAAUGGCCAUUGAUCUGCGGCCCCGCACCCCAAACAAUUGGCUAAGACCGACUACGAACAGGUGGCGCGACACGUUCUGAAUGGCCUCCAGAUUUCAAAGUGGGGAAGAGAGGCGCGGCGGCGUGUCCGGACGGGGAAUUAGCUCAAAUGGUAGAGCGCUCGCUUAGCAUGCGAGAGGUAGCGGGAUCGAUGCCCGCAUUCUCCAGUUUUGCGUUCUCUUCCCCGCUGGCUUUUGCUUUCCUGCUCCUCUAAACAGACGGAGAUGAUGGAGACAUCACCAGCUGGGAGCGGGGCCCAGGUCAUAACAGGGAAGGCCUUCAGACAGUGCCAGGAUAGGAAGGCUGAGGUCUCUAGGAUUUGGCAGACGUUUUGCAGAUUUGAAUAUUGGUCCCUGCCACGUGGACUUACGAAUCGACACUUCAAUUAUUUAUGCAUUAAUAUUGUAUUUUUAUUCUCAGUCUAUUUCCCACACAUCUGACCUAUGUAGGGCCACCUCAAGUUCUUAAAACUGGAAGGAAGGAUUCCCAUUUCUUAGCGAGAUGGUGAAGAGCCACAUAAUCAAGUAUAUUUCAGACUUGUUUUUUAUGCAUGCAGUUUUCCUCCUCUGGAGUCGGACGGCUAGAUCUUUGGAGGUGGUGGUGAUGAUGCGGAUACUGAUACCGGGCUGUGGCAGAAAACGGCCCAGUCACAGGAGGGUGGAGAACCUCGGUGGUGCCUCCAGAAGCUCAGGCCAGGACUUUCUAAUACACUUUGCAUCCAGCGCCCAAAAGUUAUCUUUGAAAAGAAAAUCGGACCAGUUUUCUUCUUUACUCUUUUGCCCCAGUUCGCUUUCAAAAAACAAACUUCACUCUGUCUCUCUCUGUCUCAGAAAUA